GUGGGGAAUCUUGCGCAAUGGGCGAAAGCCUGACGCAGCCAUGCCGCGUGAAUGAUGAAGGUCUUAGGAUUGUAAAAUUCUUUCACCGGGGACGAUAAUGACGGUACCCGGAGAAGAAGCUCCGGCUAACUUCGUGCCAGCAGCCGCGGUAAUACGAAGGGGGCUAGCGUUGCUCGGAAUUACUGGGCGUAAAGGGCGCGUAGGCGGACAGCUUAGUCAGAGGUGAAAGCCCAGGGCUCAACCUUGGAAUUGCCUUUGAUACUGGCUGUCUUGAGUUUGGGAGAGGUGAGGGGAACUCCGAGUGUAGAGGUGAAAUUCGUAGAUAUUCGGAAGAACACCAGUGGCGAAGGCGACUCACUGGCCCAAUACUGACGCUGAGGCGCGAAAGCGUGGGGAGCAAACAGGAUUAGAUACCCGGGUAGUCC
Molecule: ribosomal RNA, 425 nt
Filed under: uncultured bacterium
Lineage: Bacteria
Description: bacterial SSU rRNA
Rfam family: Bacterial small subunit ribosomal RNA
Source: RNAcentral